This 465-nucleotide ribosomal RNA is filed under the name uncultured bacterium. RNAcentral describes it as "bacterial SSU rRNA". It matches the Rfam family "Bacterial small subunit ribosomal RNA", at positions 355 to 825 of the family's 1533-position model. The record is from RNAcentral.
UCGAGAAUCUUCGGCAAUGGGCGAAAGCCUGACCGAGCGAUGCCGCGUGCGGGAUGAAGGCCUUCGGGUUGUAAACCACUGUCGUAGGGGAGAAAGGGUCGUUGAAGAAACGACUUUGAUCUAUCCUAGGAGGAAGUCCGGGCUAAGUUCGUGCCAGCAGCCGCGGUAACACGAACCGGACAAACGUUAUUCGGAAUUACUGGGCUUAAAGGGUGCGUAGGCGGUGCGGUAAGUGCGGUGUGAAAUCCCACGGCUCAACCGUGGAAUUGCGCUGCAUACUGCCGUGCUAGAGGGAGACAGGGGUAAGCGGAACUGAUGGUGGAGCGGUGAAAUGCGUUGAUAUCAUCAGGAACACCGGUGGCGAAAGCGGCUUACUGGGUCUCUUCUGACGCUGAGGCACGAAAGCUAGGGUAGCGAACGGGAUUAGAUACCCCGGUAGUCCCUGAGCGGGCUGGCAAGGCGCAU